Molecule: long non-coding RNA, 583 nt
Organism: Labeo rohita (rohu)
Lineage: Eukaryota; Metazoa; Chordata; Actinopteri; Cypriniformes; Cyprinidae
Exons: 5
Source: RefSeq, a predicted model, not a curated record
GGAGAGUGCCCGACAGCCGCGAAAUUUUAAGGUGGUCUGCAGAAAGGAGUUAUUGACAUGCAAGGAACUUUUUAUCACGUUACUUGUGAAGGAAUCUCCAUUGGAUUCGGAUCAAAUGUGAAUCGGAUGCUGAAAAAACAGAUCUUAUGCUAAACCUGUUGACGCUGUACCUGGACACCGUUAUGCAGAAGCCUAACCGGUUCAGGGCAGAUUAUUCUCUCGUCGGUCAUUUCCAUGAUGUCUGUUUGUGCUCAGCCAGCUUCAUCACGUAUCAGUAAGAGGCUGAAGGAAGAAAGUCGUGUGAAUAAUUACCUGUCUAAUCCGCGCAAUUAGAUAACGGCGAUUAGGGCAAUCCCUGACCGGAGAGGUGUUGCAGACAGAGGGAUGACUAACAGGGGACGCCUCUGAGAUCACGCUAAUAUGACGGAGGAGAACAAGAGAAUGAUGAAGAGAUGUGGACGAUACUGACUUGUCAAAUCUGAGCACGUUUUGAGACAUUUGAGAUCUGAUCUGGAAGAAACAUGAGAGAUUACUGUGGUCUGUAUUCAAUGCAACGGCAACAAGAAAUCCUGUAUCAUUGGUU